This 319-nucleotide ribosomal RNA is filed under the name uncultured eukaryote. Its description in RNAcentral is "partial 18S ribosomal RNA". It matches the Rfam family "Eukaryotic small subunit ribosomal RNA", at positions 1470 to 1796 of the family's 1831-position model. The record is from RNAcentral.
CCCUUAGAUGUUCUGGGCCGCACGCGCGCUACAAUGGUCUUCGCAAACGGAUGCAUUCUCGAAGGAGAAUGCCAAUCUUGGAAUCUAUGCCUUGGUCGGGACAGUUGCUUGCAAUUUUUCGACUCGAACCAGGAAUUCCUUGUAAUCGUGAUUCAUCACACCACGAUGAAUACGUCCCUGCCCUUUGUACACACCGCCCGUCGCUCCUACCGAUCGAAGAGUUAGGUGAAUUGUUUUGAUCGAUAAGAUUUGACUAUGGUCAACUCUCGUUGUGAAAUUCUGUGAAUCUGACUGUUUAGAGGAAGGAAAAGUCGUAACA